GACGAACGCUGGCGGCGUGCCUAACACAUGCAAGUCGAACGGAAGUAAGUGCUUCGGUAUUUACUUUAGUGGCGAACGGGUGAGUAACGCGUGAGGAACCUGCCUUUCAGUGGGGGACAACAGUUGGAAACGACUGCUAAUACCGCAUGACGCUUCUUAGGGGCAUCCCUGAGAAGUCAAAGCUUUAUGUGCUGAAAGAUGGCCUCGCGUCUGAUUAGCUAGUUGGUGGGGUAACGGCCCACCAAGGCGACGAUCAGUAGCCGACCUGAGAGGGUGACCGGCCACAUUGGGACUGAGACACGGCCCAA
Molecule: ribosomal RNA, 308 nt
Filed under: uncultured bacterium
Lineage: Bacteria
Description: bacterial SSU rRNA
Rfam family: Bacterial small subunit ribosomal RNA
Source: RNAcentral